GACGAACGCUGGCGGCGUGCUUAACACAUGCAAGUCGAGCGGACAGGCCCUUCGGGGUCCUCGAGCGGCGAACGGGUGAGUAACACGUGAGUAACCUGCCCCAGACUUUGGGAUAACCCUCGGAAACGGGGGCUAAUACCGGAUACGACACAGCUUCGCAUGGGGUCUGUGUGGAAAGUUUUUCGGUUUGGGAUGGGAUCGCGGCCUAUCAGCUUGUUGGUGGGGUGAUGGCCUACCAAGGGGACGACGGAUAGCCGGCCUGAGAGGGCGACCGGCAACACUGGGACUGAGGCACGGAGCAGAAUCCUACGGGAGGCAGUGGUGGAAAACAUCACACAGUGGGCGGGAGCCUGAUGCGGAGACGCCGGGUGAGGGAUAACGGCCUUCGGGUUGUAAACAUCUUUCAGCAGAGACGAAGCGUAAGUGACGGUACCUGCAGAAGAAGCGCCGGCCAACUACGUG
Molecule: ribosomal RNA, 462 nt
Filed under: uncultured bacterium
Lineage: Bacteria
Description: partial 16S ribosomal RNA
Rfam family: Bacterial small subunit ribosomal RNA
Source: RNAcentral